This 393-nucleotide unclassified non-coding RNA is filed under the name fungal sp. RNAcentral's name for it is "partial internal transcribed spacer region". The stretch from base 1 to 46 matches the Rfam family "Eukaryotic small subunit ribosomal RNA", at positions 1786 to 1831 of the family's 1831-position model. Lineage: Eukaryota; Fungi. The record is from RNAcentral.
AAGUCGUAACAAGGUUUCCGUAGGUGAACCUGCGGAAGGAUCAUUAACACGUACCCACGUUUAUCACCCGCGAAUCUCUUAGGUAAGCUUAUUUGAAUAAAGCUUCUGACGCACCUUUAACAGAUAUGCUUGCAUAUCUGUCGAGGGAGUGUUGAAAGCCCGGCCCUCAAAUAAUUUAUUAUUUGUGUGGCCAUUGAAUUCGCUUCCUUUGAAAUACACUUUAAUCAACUCUCUUCGGAUUGUUUUUUGAGGUGUUUGUCUUUAGAGGACUUCCCUUUGGGGCGGACCUCUAAGGAUUAAGAAACCCCUUUUUUCUAAACUAAAAGCCGUCUCUUUGUAGACCGCUUUUAACCGAAUGCUGUACAACUCUUAGCAACGGAUAUCUUGGUUCUG